AAGUCGUAACAAGGUUUCCGUAGGUGAACCUGCGGAAGGAUCAUUAACGAAUGCGAGUCGGUCGACCGUGCUGGCGGAAACGCAUGUGCACGUCAGUCGCAAACAUCCACACACACACCUGUGAACGUAUGGCCUUUGAGUCUUUUGACUCGGGGCAAACCAUUUUUACCCACUCUGUAAAAGAAUGUUUAAAACGCGUAAAGCAAACAACUUUCAACAACGGAUCUCUUGGCUCUCGCAUCGAUGAAGAACGCAGCGAAAUGCGAUAAGUAAUGUGAAUUGCAGAAUUCAGUGAAUCAUCGAAUCUUUGAACGCACCUUGCACCCUUUGGUAUUCCGAAGGGUACACCCGUUUGAGUGUCAUUGUAAUCUCACCCCCAAAUUCUUUUGGGUGUGGACUUGGAUGCUGCCGAUCCGUCGGCUCGUCUGGAAUGUCUCAGUGUACCCCGCUCGUCGGCGUAAACAGUGUGAUAAGUAUCUUCACUGGUCAGCUUCUCCGGAGGCGCGCUUUCAGGUGGGCUCCUGCGCUUACAACCGUCUUCGGACAAAUCUCUGACAAUUUGACCUCAAAUCGGGUGGGAUUACCCGCUGAACUUAAGCAUAUCAAUAAGCGGAGGAAAAGAAACUAACAGGGAUUCCCCUAGUAACGGCGAGUGAAGAGGGAAAAGCUCAAAUUUUGAAUCUGACGUCUUUGGCGUCCGAGUUGUAAUCUAGAGAAGUGUUUUCCGUACCGGACCGUGCACAAGUUCCCUGGAACGGGGCGUCAUAGAGGGUGAGAAUCCCGUAUAUGGCACGGACUCCCGGCACUCUGUGAUACACUCUCAACGAGUCGAGUUGUUUGGGAAUGCAGCUCAAAAUGGGUGGUAAAUUCCAUCUAAAGCUAAAUAUAGGCGAGAGACCGAUAGCGAACAAGUACCGUGAGGGAAAGAUGAAAAGCACUUUGGAAAGAGAGUGAAACAGUACGUGAAAUUGUUGAAAGGGAAGCGUUUGAAGUCAGUCGCGUCUGUCGGGAUUCAGCCUGGCUUCUGCCUGGUGUACUUCCCGUCCGACGGGUCAGCAUCAGUUUUGACCGAGAGAAAAAGGCUUGGGGAAUGUGGCUGUCUUCGGGCAGUGUUAUAGACCCUUGUUGUAUGUCUCGGUUGGGACUGAGGACUGCAGCGCGCCUCACGGCCGGGGUUCGCCCUCGGUACGCGCUUAGGAUGCUGGCAUAAUGGCUUUAAGCGACC
This 1225-nucleotide ribosomal RNA is filed under the name uncultured fungus. RNAcentral describes it as "eukaryotic LSU rRNA". The stretch from base 561 to 1225 matches the Rfam family "Eukaryotic large subunit ribosomal RNA", at positions 1 to 649 of the family's 3401-position model. The record is from RNAcentral. Lineage: Eukaryota; Fungi.